UUUCUCGAUCUACCUUUCUCAAGGUUCACGAAAGCAUGGGAAGACAAAAAACAAAUCGAUUUAUUUUCUAUGUUUUCCAGAUUUUUUAACUUCAAUUUAUAUUACUGUUUUUAUCCAAAUUUUCAAAAGAUGGAAGAUUUCUAAAUUUUAUAAGAGUUGUAUUUGUUUUUUGUUUUGUGAGUGAUCUUUGGGUUACCAAGCCACACAUUCAUGGAAAUAUUCUGGAAUUGGAAUAAGAUGAGAGAGAGAGAAGAGACAAUAAAGAUCUAUGAGCAAAGAGAUGUCAUGAGAGAGAAUAAAGGUGGAAGUGGAACAAAAUAAGAGGAUAUUAUAUGGAUUUGGAGAUUUCAGAAUGGGCAAAGAAAUGAGACAAAACAAUACUUCUGCUAUCAAAGGACAAGAAGGAUCCGAGAAAGUGCGCGUUUAGGGCCGAUUUGACUAAUCAAAUCCUGCAAUAAUACAACUCUUGGAAGAAUGUGGUUUUGGUUAUGUCGUCCGCAUGCGAAACUGUCAGGUUGAUUGGCACUUAAUCACAGCUAUGUUAUGAAUCCACCCGCCGAGAGGCCAUUGGCCCUUAAACACAACGUGGGCUUGUCAAGGUUCGAUGUCGUCUCCGGUGGAACACGCCUCUCCAACAACACAAGUUAGAAAUUUUCUUGGAGUGAAUGAGAAUAAUCCAGAC
Molecule: long non-coding RNA, 682 nt
Organism: Trifolium pratense (red clover)
Lineage: Eukaryota; Viridiplantae; Streptophyta; Magnoliopsida; Fabales; Fabaceae
Exons: 3
Source: RefSeq, a predicted model, not a curated record